RNAcentral lists this ribosomal RNA (484 nucleotides) under uncultured bacterium. Its description in RNAcentral is "partial 16S ribosomal RNA". It matches the Rfam family "Bacterial small subunit ribosomal RNA", at positions 30 to 507 of the family's 1533-position model. The record is from RNAcentral.
AUUGAACGCUGGCGGCAGGCCUAACACAUGCAAGUCGAGCGGAUGAAGGGAGCUUGCUCCUGGAUUCAGCGGCGGACGGGUGAGUAAUGCCUAGGAAUCUGCCUGGUAGUGGGGGAUAACGUCCGGAAACGGGCGCUAAUCCCGCAUCCGUCCUGAGGGAGAAAGUGGGGGAUCUUCGGACCUCACGCUAUCUGCUGAGCCUAGGUCGGAUUAGCUAGUUGGUUGGGUAAAGGCCUACCAAGGCGACGAUCCGUAACUGGUCUGAGAGGAUGAUCAGUCACACUGGAACUGAGACACGGUCCAGACUCCUACGGGAGGCAGCAGUGGGGAAUAUUGGACAAAGGGCGAAAGCCUGAUCCAGCCAUGCCGCGUGUGUGAAGAAGGUCUUCGGAUUGUAAAGCACUUUAAGUUGGGAGGAAGGGCAGUAAGUGAAUACCUGGCUGUUUUGACGGUACCAACAGAAUAAGCACCGGCUAACUUCGUG